GAUGAAGAACGCAGCGAAAUGCGAUAAGUAAUGUGAAUUGCAGAAUUCAGUGAAUCAUCGAAUCUUUGAACGCACCUUGCACCCUUUGGCUAUUCCGAAGGGUAUGCCUGUUUGAGUAUCAUGAACACCUCAACUCUCAUGGUUUGCCAUGAUGAGCUUGGACUUUGGGGGUCUUGCUGGCCUGUGGUCAGCUCCUCUCAAAUGGAUUAGCUUGCCAGUGUUUGGUGGCAUCACCGGUGUGAUAACUAUCUACGCUUGUGGUUUUCCACCAGGUAACCUUCAGCAAUGGGGGUUCGCUGGGGCUCAUAAAUGUCUCUCCUCAGUGAGGACAGCUCUUUGAACGUUUGAUCUCAAAUCAGGUAGGACUACCCGCUGAACUUAAGCAUAUCAAUAAGCGGAGGA
Molecule: unclassified non-coding RNA, 402 nt
Filed under: soil metagenome
Description: partial contains 5.8S ribosomal RNA, internal transcribed spacer 2, and large subunit ribosomal RNA
Rfam family: 5.8S ribosomal RNA (bases 1-121)
Source: RNAcentral